GCCGGGCACGGUGGUGCGUGCCUGUACUCCCGGCUACUUGGAAGGCUGAGGCUGGAGGAUCGCUUGAGCCCGGGAGUUCUGGGCUGUCGUGCGCUGUGCCAAUCGGGUGUCCCCAUCAAGUUUGGCAUCAAUAUGGUGACCUCCCGGGAGUGGGGGACCACCAGGUUGCCUAAGGAGGGGUGAACCGGCCCAGGUAGGAAACAGAGCAGGUCAAAACUCCCGUGCUGAUCAGUAGUGGGAUUGCGCCUGUGAAUAGACACUGCACUCCAGCCUGGGGGACGUAGUGAGACCCCCAUCUCU
Molecule: unclassified non-coding RNA, 300 nt
Organism: Aotus nancymaae (Ma's night monkey)
Lineage: Eukaryota; Metazoa; Chordata; Mammalia; Primates; Aotidae
Rfam family: Metazoan signal recognition particle RNA
About the family: The signal recognition particle (SRP) is a universally conserved ribonucleoprotein. It is involved in the co-translational targeting of proteins to membranes.
Source: Ensembl